Molecule: long non-coding RNA, 288 nt
Filed under: Hordeum vulgare
Lineage: Eukaryota; Viridiplantae; Streptophyta; Magnoliopsida; Poales; Poaceae
Description: long non-coding RNA (HVUL_LNC019582)
Source: RNAcentral
KUCCCUACGCCUAUUCUUGUAUUCCGUGAUGACUCUGGUGGAGAAUAAAUCUCCAAGAUGUUGCAUUCAAUCCUUGUUGAGCACGGUGCUCUUGCUCAGUUCUCUUAUCCUGGUAACUUCCCUACCUGUCGAUAGUCGAGGCACUCUUGGCAGUUUCUCUUUUCAUGUUCCAUCUUUUGCUCGUCUUCCUUGACUUUACUACACUCGACUGUUCGCGUGUUGUGGAUUCUUCUAAUGAGUCAACUCCCUCGAUUACUAUGUAUUCUUCUGUUGGCAACACAUAGCUCC